GUCCAUUUGGCUCAGUUGGUAGAACAUGGUGCUUGCAACGCCUGGGUUGUGGGUUCGAUUCCCACGAGGGGCC
Non-coding RNA from Salmo salar (Atlantic salmon), 73 nucleotides. NCBI's taxonomy places the organism in Eukaryota, Metazoa, Chordata, Actinopteri, Salmoniformes, Salmonidae. The record is from Rfam.